GGAAUAUAGGAGAUUAAAAGAAUAAUGUGUCCAAAGUCCAAAAAGCUGGUUAACUCGCACAAAGCACAGGCAGUGUGUUGAGUUGAGAGAGAGAGAGAGAGAGAGAGAGAGAGAGAUGGAGAGGGAAGGGUUAGGGGAGGCAGUAGUAGGGAGGUGCAUGAGUAGCUACGUGGACCAAGGUAGCACGGAGAGUCACAGAUACUACCUGUCGCGCAGAACUGCGAUGGAGAUGCUGAGGGACCGAGGAUUUUCUGUUCCCGCCUCCGACCUCGCUCUCACCCUCCCUGAAUUUCGAGUCAUUCACGGCCCCAUUGUCGAUUACGACCGCCUCCGCUUCUCCGUUACUCAUCGCUCUGACCCUUCCAAAAGGAUCAUGGUCAUUUUCCGUGGGCAUGGUGUGGUGAAAGUUAACGACGUCCGUAGUAUUGCAUCUCAGAUUGUCAACAAAGACAGUUUAACUGGGCUUAUUUUGAUUUUGCAAAACCAAAUGACAAAUCCGGCACAGAAAGCUUUGGAUCUUCUCCCUUUUAAAGUGGAAAUAUUUCAGAUUACGGACUUGCUUGUGAAUAUCACAAAGCAUGUGUUGAAGCCAAAACACCGUAUACUAACUGAUGAAGAGAAGCAGAAACUUCUAAAGAAACACAGCAUUCAAGAAACGCAGCACUUUCUAUAUGCUAAUGCAUAUUGAAGUCCAGUGGCCAUAUUUGGAAAAAGUGCUGUCUAUCAUGGCUAUGUGAAGCUCAACAUGUGGACCGGCCCCUGCAUUAGGUGGCCACCUAUUGUGUGUUGCAGCACCAAUGGAAGCUGUCCACAUGGACAGUGACCUGUUCAUGGCUGUGAUGGAGAGCAUCACUCUAUUUGGACUGAUCGACUGGCUUCCCAUUUUGGUUCAAGUUAAAACUAGAGGGCGUGAUGCCUGGUAAACUUUAGCUGCCUCGGAUGUCGAGAAAAGAUGCAAUUGCGCGAUACUAUGGACUGGAAAGGGGGCAGGUGGUGAAAGUUACUUACAGUAGUGAAAUUACGAAAUCCCACAUCACUUAUCGAUGCGUCUGGUGAUGCCUGUCUUGGUGCUUCUUUUAGUUUCAUCGUAGUGAUUUUUCCUUUUGUUUUUCUUUUUCGGUUUUCUCUGAGAUCUAUCUCAGUGCGGUUGUACGACUACUUUUACGUUUAAUGCAAUUGGUAAGCUGGAUGAGAGCUUAUUUUGAGCGGUAA
RNA transcript from Ziziphus jujuba (common jujube), 1212 nucleotides. It is a transcript of the gene named DNA-directed RNA polymerase V subunit 5A, with no coding region annotated. The record is from RefSeq and is a predicted model, not a curated record. The transcript has 5 exons. Lineage: Eukaryota; Viridiplantae; Streptophyta; Magnoliopsida; Rosales; Rhamnaceae.